RNAcentral lists this ribosomal RNA (502 nucleotides) under uncultured bacterium. RNAcentral's name for it is "partial 16S ribosomal RNA". It matches the Rfam family "Bacterial small subunit ribosomal RNA", at positions 30 to 523 of the family's 1533-position model. The record is from RNAcentral.
AUUGAACGCUGGCGGCAGGCUUAACACAUGCAAGUCGAACGGCAGCAUGGGUGCUUGCACCUGAUGGCGAGUGGCGAACGGGUGAGUAAUGCAUCGGAACGUGCCCGGAAGUGGGGGAUAACGUAGCGAAAGUUACGCUAAUACCGCAUAUUCUGUGAGCAGGAAAGCAGGGGACCUUCGGGCCUUGCGCUUUCGGAGCGGCCGAUGUCGGAUUAGCUAGUUGGUAGGGUAAAGGCCUACCAAGGCAACGAUCCGUAGCGGGUCUGAGAGGAUGAUCCGCCACACUGGGACUGAGACACGGCCCAGACUCCUACGGGAGGCAGCAGUGGGGAAUUUUGGACAAUGGGGGAAACCCUGAUCCAGCCAUGCCGCGUGAGUGAAGAAGGCCUUCGGGUUGUAAAGCUCUUUCGGUAGAGAAGAAAUUGCACUUUCUAAUACAAAGUGUGGAUGACGGUAUCUACAUAAGAAGCACCGGCUAACUACGUGCCAGCCGCCGCUGUAA